Molecule: transfer RNA, 87 nt
Filed under: Bacteroidia bacterium
Lineage: Bacteria; Pseudomonadati; Bacteroidota; Bacteroidia
Description: tRNA-Ser
Rfam family: tRNA
About the family: Transfer RNA (tRNA) molecules are approximately 80 nucleotides in length. Their secondary structure includes four short double-helical elements and three loops (D, anti-codon, and T loops).
Source: RNAcentral
GGAAACUUGUCCGAGUGGCUGAAGGAGCAACCCUGGAAAGGUUGUAUACGGGAAACUGUAUCGAGAGUUCGAAUCUCUCAGUUUCCG